UACGAAGGGGGCUAGCGUUGUUCGGAAUUACUGGGCGUAAAGCGCGCGUAGGCGGUUUUGCAAGCCAGAGGUGGAAUGCCUGAGCUCAACUUAGGAAUUGCCUUUGGGACUGCGAGGCUUUGAGGACUGGAGAGGUGAGUGGAAUUCCCAGUGUAGAGGUGAAAUUCGUAGAUAUUGGGAAGAACACCGGUGGCGAAGGCGGCUCACUGGCCAGUUUCUGACGCUGCAGCGCGAAAGCUAGGGGAGCAAACAGG
RNAcentral lists this ribosomal RNA (254 nucleotides) under uncultured bacterium. RNAcentral describes it as "partial 16S ribosomal RNA". It matches the Rfam family "Bacterial small subunit ribosomal RNA", at positions 524 to 776 of the family's 1533-position model. The record is from RNAcentral.